Globicephala melas (long-finned pilot whale) is the source of this 7447-nucleotide long non-coding RNA. RefSeq lists it as uncharacterized. NCBI's taxonomy places the organism in Eukaryota, Metazoa, Chordata, Mammalia, Artiodactyla, Delphinidae. The record is from RefSeq and is a predicted model, not a curated record.
CUCUGUGACAUUUCUUACGCGGAUUUACUGGAACGAGGCCUGGGAAGUCAGCUGCUCCGGCCCUGCUGCACCGUCAUCUCCAUCCCGCCGGGCUGCCCGGAGUCUUGAGGACGCCACUGGCCGAGCUUUGCCCCUCAGACGCCCCGCCAAGCCCCCAGCCCCAGCGACUCAGGCCACUGGAUUCUCCCCUGGACCAGGCAACAUUCUCAUCGCCCAGAAGGAGACCCCAUGCCUGUUAAGCAGCUGCUCCCCACUCCCUGCCGGGCGCCCCACACUUUGGACCUGCGUCACCCACGGCGAUGUUAUGACCUGCCCCCCGUCCUCCCCACCGCACGCCGCAGACGAGCGCUCUGUGCAGCGGGGACCAGAGCAGACGGCUCACCUGCAGCCACAAAGAGGAUGCCGGCGCUGAGGACGAUGUUGUUCUUGCGGCUGUGGAGUCUCCCGGCGCCAAGGCAGAGCCCGCCGAGCAGCAGGAGGGCGGCACUGAGGAUGGGGAAGGCGCUGGAGGCGCGCACGAGGCCUGGCCGGCGGGAGACACAGAGAGGGCCGUGGGGCUGGCCAUCCUCCCGGCCCGGCCACGGGCGUCGGCCCCAAGGCUCUCAAGGCCCUUCCGCUGACUUUGAAGAUUCCCAUCCCACCCUGGAGACCCCAGGCUCUCCCUGGAUGUGGGCCCCACUUCUGCCAGCGGGGAUCCCCUCAGCGCCACCAGGGAGGCCACAGCAACAGGCACGAGAACACUGUCAGACGGCCCGUCACAGCUCGUGGACAUCGUCUCCGUGAAGCCUCCGGGAUGCUGGAGACUGGAUCCGGAUGGGCGGCCGAGGGCACGGCUUUGCCUUCGGCGGGCCCGGGUACCCCGCUUUGUGACACGCUGGCUGUGUGGCCUUGGCCAAGGUGGGGCCUCCCUGACACUGGGUUUCCCUAGUAGUGGGAUGCAGUUCGUAACAGGCUACGUCCAGGUGGGUUCUGCACAUCUAAUAGGCUUAUUUAGCAAAGGCCCUGCCCAUAGCACACACUCCUCAAGUGACAGCCUUGAUCUCCCACCUCCGUCAACACCAGCGCCAUCACCCCGGGACGCUCCGGACCUCGUGAGGUCACCGAGGAGGGGGUGGCUGGACAGGGGAGCAUGUCCAUGGCCUGCGGGGUCCCACGGAGCUAGAUCUGCAGCUGUGCACUGCCCAGCAGGGCGACCAGGGCAGCUAGCUUCAGACCACUUCACUCCCCUCUUUUACAACCUGGGGAGAGUAGUAAUACCUACCUGUAGGGGUUGAAUUGUGGCCUCCCAAAAUCUAUGUCCACAUUCUAACUGCUGGUACCUAUGAGUGUGACCAGGUUUGGAGAAAAGUCUUUGCAGCUGUGAGUAAGUUAAGGCUCUUGAGAUGACACCGUCCUAGAUCACGCUGGGCCCCAAGUCUAGUGACAGGCGCCCUAACAUGAACAGGAAGCGACACAGCAGAAGAGCCCAUGGGGAGAAGCCAUGUGAGGACGGAGGCGGAGGAAAGGAUGACACAGCUCAAGACAAGGAUGCCGGGGCUGCCAGAGCUGGAAAAGGCGGGAAGGAUUCUCUGCUAGAGGCUUUGGAGGAGCACAGCCCUGGCAACGCCUGAGUGAAGACGUCUGGCCUCCACUCCGUGUGAGGGUGCCUUUCUGCUGUUCUAAGCCCCCCAGUUUGUGGUAAUUUAUUACAGUGGCCUUAGGAAAGGGACACACUACCUGCAAGUGCUGUGAUGAGACUCUGACGGAAUAAGGUACAUCGGGCGGGUAGUAGGGCCCUGGGGGAUGCGGGUCCCCCUCCCUGAGCAUCUGGCUGGGAGAGGAGGCGGGAGGAAGGGAAGGGGGACGUGAGCAGAACCCCGAGCUCGGCCUCCCAGCCCAGGAGAAAUCCCGGCUCCGUGGACCUGGGGGCCGCCAGGGGACAGUGAGCUGGGGGCACCGGCAGGCCCCCCUCCUGAGCCAGCUGAGCUCGUUUGCGGCCUUUCAGCCUCUGAAGGCAGCGUUUGUCUCCCUGCUUGUAAGCCCGCCAGUGUGUGCCCUGCUGCACAGAGAGCGGCUUGUCUGGGGCAGUAAAUGAAGCUCUUCUCUCCGCCUCCCCCUCCUUCCUCUGCCUUCUCACAGCCGCAGGUUUCGGGAGGAGGUUUCCUGUGGGCCUUUGAAAUGCGCCUCUGAUCCGUGCGGGGCCGGCAAAGGGGGACCGGGUCCCCCUCGAUACCCUCGUUCUGCAGGUGGGUCAGAGGGGUUGCAGCGAGGGAAGCCUGGAGCCUCUAACGUCUCCGAGUUCGGGCCUGGCCCAGAGCCGUCCAUCCCGCCCGCGUAAGUCACGUGAGCACCGUCCUUUGCCACGUGGGCUCACCCGGAGCUCUAGACGUGCGGGCACCAACCGCGGUGCAGGCUGGGUCUUGCACAGAGCGGGGUCGAUGUCCAGCCCACGGCCCUGUGGCUACCUCGAGCCCUGGCAAGGAUCUGUGUUUUUGCCCAGAGGGCGGGCAUCUCCUCCUCACUCGCCCUCAGGCUCGCCAUGGGCUCUCAGCAGCCCUGACACCAGCACUCUGGGGUUAGCACAGAAACCACGCGCCCAACCCGAAAUGCGGAGCCUGGAGAAGGGGCACCAGGCCCAGGGCAAGAGGGACGGGAAGCCCUGAGGCCAGCGGGCUCAACAGAGAGAAACGGCAGGGAAUCAGGGAAACUCAGGCCGGAUGGCCGUGGCGACCGCGGCCUUGUUCUGUCCUGGAAUGUUGCCCACUCCCUCUGGCUCCCAGCUCACAGGCACCUGCACUCUGGGGCUCGAGUUCAGGGCCAAUUCUCGCUGUUUCUGCAGCCCCUGAGUGGAAAACCACUUCCCUGAUGGGGAGUCAGCUCUGCCCUCCCCCUCAGCAGCCGAGAUCACAGGCCCCAAAGCCAUCACCCCUUCUCUUCCUUGGGCUCCUGAAUGAACCCCCUGGCUCCCCACGGUGCACCAAUGAGGAAACGUUUCCUUCCCAAAUGAGCUUUGAUGGCUGAUGUACAGUUGCCAUCAUGUUAUUUGGGAAAAUCGCUGCUGGGUCUCCCAGCCCUCACGCCCUGCCCCGGGGCACCGCUGGUGGGGUUUGAGGACAGCAGGAGCCUGAAGCUGGAUUGGUGAGUGUGCCCCUCCCGGCCCUCGGACCACCUCUCUCGGUCCUGCUCUGGGCCCUGGGAGGCUGACGCCAGGGACCGGGUCAUCGGGGUCCCUCGACUCCGGCUUUGGGAGGAGAGUGCAGGGGAGACGGUUAUUCCCCUGGCUUCCUUCCUGCAAAUGAGGACGAGGAUAAGGUGGCUGCGCUCUGUCAUAAAGGCCACAGCCCCUGCCAGGAGGUCCCCUGGUGCAAGCGUCCAUACCUGCCUCUCCCACCUGUUCAGGCUGAGGGCUGUAAGGGGUCCUUCUGUUGCUAGCCGCGGUGUGUUCACUGCCCGUUGUAAGCUUCCCUUAGCCCCGCCCACAGCUCUGUAAUUAGUCCUUCACUAAAUGCCCUUCCUUCAUCCCAUCGGAGCGAGCGUCCCCUCUGCUUCCUGCUGGGACCCCAGGAAGCCGCAUCGUCUGACCUCUUGGCUGAUGUUCCACGAGGCCCAUCCAGAAGGAGAUCCCAGCACCCUGGGGACCAUGAGGGGAAGGGCAGGGGAGUAAAGAGGCAGAGCCCGCACCGAUUAACCUCAGGCAAGUUCAUGUGGGAAGUGGGGAGGGAAUGGCGUGUUUCUCCAGGAGCUGCUUCCGCACAGUCCCGAGGUGGCCAGGUUAGCAAAUCUGCCCUCAGAGCCUCAGGGACCAUCUGACUGCCCCGGGCCGGCAAACAAGGGGAGGUCCUGUUCAGGGCUGGCUUUCACCAGCAGCCGCCCCAGAUGGCUGUGCAGGCCACGCACCAUGCAACUCACAGAGUGUAAUGUAUACGCUAGUCUAUGCAAAUGAUAUCCCUUGAGUUGUGCAGUGUGCAACCUGCACAACCAUCUGUGGCGGCCCUAUGGACUAUCAUUUGCUGGGUUCAGUGGUGGCCCGCAGAAAGCAGAGAGUACAGGCGUGAGGAAGGGGAGAAGGUGAGGGAGGAGGGAUGGGAGGCAGAUCUGGCUACAUUAUUCCAGGUUCUGGGCCUGAGGCUGCCCCAGGCUGCAGGGGAACCGCACGCUGGUCUAUUUCACUAGAUGACUCAGAACCAAAAUCCUUUCCCUUAGAAAAGAACGGUCCAUAAGCAGGUGCAGAGUGAAGAGUGCUCCCUCUGAGCACACUCGUAUUGAUUCUCCAUAAAUGAAGCUGGCCUGAGCCCCUAGGGGAGCCGCUGGGAGCAGCUCUGCCUGCGUCUUGGCUAAUGCAAAAGGGGAAAAUGACUUCAAAACGGUGCUGUUUUUUCCAUUUCCAGGUUCCUCCCCAGGCUGAGGCUCCAUCCUUUCUCCCAGGGAGGUGCCCACGGACGAGAUCUGGAUUUAGGGUGUGGGACGGGGUUUGUCCUUUGAGUUCUGCGUUCUAGUCCGGGGGCCAGCCCCACUGCAGGACCCGGGCAGGGGCAGCUCAUGGGCUCUACCAGUCUGUGCCAGAGACACUCAGGGCCACAUACCCGAGGCUGGUCCCACCACCGUCCUCACGUUCUCCCACAGGCUGCCUGGCACCCAAUGGCUGUUUCAGCGCGUGACUUAAUCUGAUUUUCAAGACUAGAAUGCUGGGUGGGGGAGGGGAGGGGUGGGCAGGUCCAGGGCUGGCCGGGCCGUGUGCUUGGGGUGGCACAGCCCCCAGGAUGCCGGGCCCGGGCAAGCCUACGUCCUGACCUCUGGACCGGACACAGCAAUCAGUUCCUCUGAAGACAGCGGCCCUGGGGAGCAGGGAUUCCCCCACCCUGCUCCAUCUUCCCGGGCCGCACCCGGGCAUGGUCCUAUCAGCCAGGCAACUCCGCCGGGACACCCAGCACGUCACAGCAACCUUGAACGACACUCCAUCCUCGGAACUAACGAUUCGGAAUCAGAAAGGGAGUGAAGGCAGCACCCAGGGACCAGCCCCCUCCGCCCCCACGGGGCCCACCUUCCUCCCCCGCAGCCGGCUGCCCACCACCGGCCCCCGCUCCACCCACAGAGGAAGCGAAGGACCCUCGGCACUCACGCAGGAGACUCGCUGGCCGGGUGUGCCUGGCUCUGGGCGUGGAGGGCGCAGAAGGGCCGCUCCGAUGGGCGUGGGGCACAGAGAAGGACCGCCCAGCGGGGGACGCGCCCCAGGCUGACCGCGUCAUUACGGUCCACGUCUGGACACCCGCGAGAGGGAGGGGCACCAGGACACAGGGACAAGAGGCCUCAAAGCAGAGCAUCCUGGGCCAGCAGGGCCCAAGGGGACUGCGGAGCCCAGGCUUGAAAGGUGACAAAGACCUUCCCAGUGGGAUGGGGGAGGGGCCAGCCAGGCAGAGGCGAGGCUGUGAAGAGGCAGGGCUGGGGCCCGCGGUGUGUCUGGGGAGGGUGGGAAGUCCAGUGCGGCCAGAGGUGAGAAGGACCCGUGCAGGGAGAGGGGCUGUGGGCCGGGAUGAGAUCUGCCGCCCACCUCCCUGCGGCAGUGUCUGUCUGUCUGUCUGUCUUCCCCUCUCCCCUCGAGCACAGUUACGGUGAAUCCCUCCCACGUCACAGGCCGAAUCUGCACACGGUCGGCAACGUGACUGUAAUCCCCUCACUCGGUGUGACAGAAGGAAGAGCCUCCCGGAAAGGCCCAGACCCUCUCCUGCCUGGUCUCCCUCCCCACCCGGAGAAGUAGCCUUCGCAGGACACCCUGAGUAGUUUAGUGACGGCAGGAGGACCGCCCAGCCCUCCCUUCUGGAAUCUUCCGCCAGCUCUCCCAGCGCCUGCUCCCCUGCAGUGUGGGCGUGCACAGUGCAGAAGCGGACGCAGGUCGGGGGACACAGGGUGCCGGGUUCUGUCCUGCCAGCCCCCCGCACGCCCAGGCCGGGCCCCUGGCCCUACAAGGAGCUCGUCCUGGCCCCCACACGGGCCCGCCUGCUUUCAGCUGGAACGUUCUCGUUUUGCAGCUGCUGCUGAGCGGCUCGCUGACCCUCCCACGUCCCGGCCAGACCUCCUGGUCGGGCGCACGGUGCAGGCAGCAGGGCCCGUGCCAGGCUGGCCUCCGUCCCCGUCCUUUCCAUGGAGAAGGGCCUCGACGAGCUUGGGGGCACCUUCAGCGCCUCCCAUUUACCAGUCAGCUGCCCCCCAGCCUCCCCUCAGCUGGGCCCAUGAGCUGCUGCCUUCAGAGAGCUCAGGGGCUGGUGUCCAGGCCACUGCUGGGCAGGCUGGGUUUGGUCAGGGACAGUGGGGGACAGUCUGAGGGUGUCAGAGGCGGCGCCUUGAGUGGGGUACGCUUCCACAGUGUCGUCUGAGCCGGGUCAAGCGUGAGCGUUUUAGCUACCUGCCUCAGUCUCCUGCUCUGGAGAAUGGGGACAGCCACAGGCCUCGUCUAGGGACCUCAGGAGCGUCACGGGAGGCGACCCUGAAAGGCACUUCAACAAUUCUCGGCCUGCGCUGACGGCUCAGGGGACAUUUGCUGCUUUGGGACCCAGACGUCACCCACCCUUUGCUCCGUGGCUCUUACUCUGUGGUGGAGCGAGAGGAAGGAGCCCCAGGGCAGGCUGGUGUCAGGACGGCCAGCGCGGGCCGCACCCCAGCUUCAGGAGUUUUGUCAUUUCCAGAAGGUUCUAUAAAUGGAAUCUUACGGCGUGUGACCUGUCGGGCCUGGCUCUCUCACUCAGCGUAAUUCUCUCGAGAUUCACCGAGUUGUGGUAUCGACAGUUUGCUCCUUUUGGCUGCUGAGUGAUGUUCCACGGCACGGAUGUUCUACAGCUCAUGACAGCUGGAUUUGCGCCCCGCGAUUGCGCCUGCGGUUCCCAGCUAUUUCCAAUGACGCUGCUAUGAACAGGUUUGGGGAUGAACCUAACUCUUCAUUUCCCUGGGCCAAAUGCCCAGGAGAGUAAUUGCUGGGUGACGUGACAGCUGCGUGUUUGUUAUAAGGGACAGCCAAGCUGGUUUCCAGGAUGGUUAUAUCCCUUAUUUUGCAAAAGGAAUAAUACAAUACACUUUACUCUGCAAACUGCUUUUUUCAUGUAAUAAUGUAUACACACUUCUCUAGGCCAAUACCUAUAGAUUUUAAAAACUUGUUUGUUUUUAAUAACAAAAAUAAUAAGUUGAUACUACUCCAAAAGUUGCUGACAGUCUUCGAAGGCACUAGCACAGGGACUCGGGCAGUAAAGCUUUUGCCGCACCACUGAUGAUGCUAAAACUAUGCUUCGCCAGGAAACCACAUAUCCACAUAUUCGAUUGGAAAAGAAAGCAGGUUCUGAAAGUAGCUUGCACGUAGACACGUUAGUUCCAAAUGCCCUUCCAAUGUAUUUUGCGAACCUCCACUCUGCAUUUAGGGUGAUAGUUUCUAUUUGAUAGAAACUGUAAAUAGGGAUCACACUGCCCAACAUAUUAACAGAUU